This 252-nucleotide ribosomal RNA is filed under the name uncultured bacterium. RNAcentral's name for it is "partial 16S ribosomal RNA". It matches the Rfam family "Bacterial small subunit ribosomal RNA", at positions 524 to 776 of the family's 1533-position model. The record is from RNAcentral.
UACGAAGGGGGCUAGCGUUGCUCGGAAUUACUGGGCGUAAAGGGAGCGUAGGGGACAUUUAAGUCAGGGGUGAAAUCCCAGAGCUCAACUCUGGAACUGCCUUUGAUACUGGAUGUCUUGAGUGUGAGAGAGGUAUGUGGAACUCCGAGUGUAGAGGUGAAAUUCGUAGAUAUUCGGAAGAACACCAGUGGCGAAGGCGACAUACUGGCUCAUUACUGACGCUGAGGCUCGAAAGCGUGGGGAGCAAACAGG